GCCCUUGUAGCUCAGUUGGUAGAGCACCUGAUUUGUAAUCAGGGGGUCAUCGGUUCGAGUCCGGUCGGGGGCACCA
RNAcentral lists this transfer RNA (76 nucleotides) under Pseudaminobacter soli (ex Li et al. 2025). Its description in RNAcentral is "Mesorhizobium soli tRNA-Thr". It matches the Rfam family "tRNA". Rfam says of the family: Transfer RNA (tRNA) molecules are approximately 80 nucleotides in length. Lineage: Bacteria; Pseudomonadati; Pseudomonadota; Alphaproteobacteria; Hyphomicrobiales; Phyllobacteriaceae. The record is from RNAcentral.